GGCUUGCAAGGAGCACUGAUGGAGACAAGGUGAGCUUGAAUCAGGAAGAUUUCAGCAUCUGAAGGGCAAAGAGACUGGUCAGUGAAGCACCAGCAGGCUGAAUGCUGUAUUUGAGAGACCACAAAGAAGAAACUGCAACAUAUCAGUGAAGGAAAAUGAGGAGCUGAAGAGAUAAGGAAUAUGUUACACAGACCAGGAAACUUCUGGCUGGGAUGUUGGAGAGGAUAUAAAGUGUGUUUUUCAGGCACACGCUGUCACAGUUGGGCCACAAACAUUGCUGGAUAAUCCCACUUGGAACCUGUGGGAAAAUGGGAAUAGAGAGGAACCUCUGCACAUCUUGCACGAGGCUGGUGCCCAGCCAGGGUCUACCUGCAGUGGAAGAGGUUUCCCUCAGGAAUGUGGCUGCAGACCUCCACUGCCACCCUGGACAUCAGCUUGCCUGAGCAUGUGGUGGCUGCCUCCUGAGCCACACUCACAGCUGGAACUUGUACCCAAACCUGAAGCAACUCUAAACCUGAAUUUCCUGAAACUUCCAAACCUGAAUUUCUCUCUAAAUAACUGGCACAAAGAUUUGGCUGCAGCCUCCACCUGGAGGACCAAAGGGGUUAUCAGACUCUGUGAAGAUAUGACCAAGGCUACCAUGUGA
This 646-nucleotide long non-coding RNA is filed under the name Cyanistes caeruleus (blue tit). RNAcentral's name for it is "lncRNA (ENSCCEG00000008847.1)". The record is from RNAcentral. Lineage: Eukaryota; Metazoa; Chordata; Aves; Passeriformes; Paridae.